Molecule: transfer RNA, 75 nt
Filed under: Orientia tsutsugamushi str. Ikeda
Lineage: Bacteria; Pseudomonadati; Pseudomonadota; Alphaproteobacteria; Rickettsiales; Rickettsiaceae
Description: tRNA-Trp
Source: RNAcentral
UGGCAGGAGAGACAGGACUUGAACCCGCAACACCCGGUUUUGGAGACCGGUGCUCUACCAUUGAGCUACACUCCU